UCCAGGUAUCUUGCUCACACUUGGACUUAAGCUAUGCUUUGUUCCUGUUUUAUUCAGUUUAUUUUUUGACAGUCACACCUGUAUUUAUGAUGCAUUCUGGUUGCUCUGACUCCCGUCCUUGUCAGCUUUCCCUACAUGCCCCUUUCCCACACCCGUGACUCUGGUUUCACCACAGAUUUUAACCAGGACUGUCAGUGUCCACCCUUGGGUGCGUAACUGAAAAUAACGACUGGCCUUGCUUUAGCCAGCAGGCUCAGGGCUCCUCCAGCUCCUCCCUGACCCAUGGUUGACAGGCCCCCUUUGCUGUGAAGUCACCCCUACAGUGGCCGCCCCGCACUGUGAAGUUCUGGACUCAGACCCAGGGUCUUGUACAAGGACUCCAUCACUGAACUACACCCCACCUCCAGAUCCAGGCCCAGAAAAUGACACUCUAAAGGUUCAAGAUACAGCACUUUGACAUGAUAAAUACUUUGACCUAAAGAGGAGCGAUUAGAACCAACCACCAGAGGAGCUUUUUCGGAAGUCUUCUAUCUAAAGGCUGGUCUUCCAGACGAUUCACUCACAAGAAGAAGACAAGAGUUGACCACCACAGCCUGAGUCAAGGCAAACUUUAUCCAGACAAAUUUGGUUCAAUUUAACCUAAAAGUGCCUCCAGCGUCUCUCUUUUCCUUAUGGAGAGGACAAACACACUUCUAAACCUCACUGUUGGGGUCCCGCUCUUUGGCAUGUGAUAAAUUGGGUGCCUUUGCUCUGAUUGGUUUGUCUACUGCCCACCUACUUCUCAGGAUGGUUAGGAAACCUCCAGUGGGGGAGAAAAAACAGAACCCCCUGGAGGGAAAGAAAGAGUCCUCUCGCUUCUAGACACAUAAGCAGAGGCUGUGUUCCUCGUCUGUACCACCAGAUCUGACCUGUGACUUGAUGCUCCAUACUGUGACCCAAAGGAAUGAAUAUUCGGUAACUUUUAUGAGCUUCAGAAUGCCCAGCAUACACCUGGAGGUCAAUAAGAGACCAACGAGAUCAUGAGUUAGCAGGUGUUCAGAGACUAUAAGACACACACAUACGCAUACACAUACACACACACACUUUGGUUACAGCUCCCCCCAUUAGGAAACUUGAUAUUGAGGGCAAGAAUGUGUCUGUCCUCUAAAUAUGUGCAUGUGAACUCCUACUCAAGAAUAUAUGUGACAUGUGGCCAGCAAGAUGGCUUAGUGGGUAAAGGCACCGCUGUGAAGCCUUAUGACCUGAGCUCAAUCCUCGGACACAUCUGGUGGACAAGCAACUCCCCUUCAGCUUACCCUCUGUCCCCACGUGCAUGUAUGUCAUGAUGCUCCUUUCCCACAAAUAAUAAAUAAAUAAAUGUAA
Molecule: non-coding RNA, 1362 nt
Organism: Peromyscus maniculatus bairdii (prairie deer mouse)
Lineage: Eukaryota; Metazoa; Chordata; Mammalia; Rodentia; Cricetidae
Source: RefSeq, a predicted model, not a curated record